This 819-nucleotide ribosomal RNA is filed under the name uncultured eukaryote. RNAcentral's name for it is "SSU rRNA". It matches the Rfam family "Eukaryotic small subunit ribosomal RNA", at positions 629 to 1426 of the family's 1831-position model. The record is from RNAcentral.
CGGUGUUUAACUGGCGUGAUGUGGGACGUCCUACCGGUGGGCUUAGCCUCGCGAGGGGCGGCCCAACUAAUAUCCCGUCGCGGUGCUCUUUACUGAGUGUCGAGUCGGGCCGGUACGUUUACUUUGAACAAAUUAGAGUGCUUAAAGCAGGCUAUCCUCGCCUGAAUACUGCGUGCAUGGAAUAAUGGAAUAGGACCUCGGUUCUAUUUUGUUGGUUUUCGGAACCCCGAGGUAAUGAUUAAUAGGGACAGAUGGGGGCAUUCGUAUUGCGACGUUAGAGGUGAAAUUCUUGGAUCGUCGCAAGACGGACAGAAGCGAAAGCAUUUGCCAAAAAUGUUUUCAUUAAUCAAGAACGAAAGUUAGAGGUUCGAAGGCGAUCAGAUACCGCCCUAGUUCUAACCAUAAACGAUGCCAGCUAGCGAUCCGCCGAAGUUCCUCCGAUGACUCGGCGGGCAGCUUCCGGGAAACCAAAGCUUUUGGGUUCCGGGGGAAGUAUGGUUGCAAAGCUGAAACUUAAAGGAAUUGACGGAAGGGCACCACCAGGAGUGGAGCCUGCGGCUUAAUUUGACUCAACACGGGAAACCUCACCAGGCCCAGACACCGGAAGGAUUGACAGAUUGAUAGCUCUUUCUUGAUUCGGUGGGUGGUGGUGCAUGGCCGUUCUUAGUUGGUGGAGCGAUUUGUCUGGUUAAUUCCGAUAACGAACGAGACUCUAGCCUGCUAAAUAGGCGUACCUUAUGGUAUCGCGAAGGCCCCCGGCUUCGGCCGGUGGGUUCUUACUACCAACGUACAAACAAAUCUUCUUAGAGGGACAGGCGG